AUUGAACGCUGGCGGCAGGCUUAACACAUGCAAGUCGAGCGGGGUGAUGGUGCUUGCACUAUCACUUAGCGGCGGACGGGUGAGUAAUGCUUAGGAAUCUGCCUAUUAGUGGGGGACAACAUCUCGAAAGGGAUGCUAAUACCGCAUACGUCCUACGGGAGAAAGCAGGGGAUCACUUGUGACCUUGCGCUAAUAGAUGAGCCUAAGUCGGAUUAGCUAGUUGGUGGGGUAAAGGCCUACCAAGGCGACGAUCUGUAGCGGGUCUGAGAGGAUGAUCCGCAACACUGGGACGGGGACACGGUCCAGACCCCUACGGGAGGAAGCAGUGGGGAAUAUUGGACAAUGGGGGGAACCCUGAUCCAGCCAUGCCGCGUGUGUGAAGAAGGCCUUAUGGUUGUAAAGCACUUUAAGCGAGGAGGAGGCUCUUUUGGUUAAUACCCAAGAUGAGUGGACGUUACUCGCAGAAUAAGCACCGGCUAACUCUGUGCCAGCAGCCGCCGUAA
Molecule: ribosomal RNA, 503 nt
Filed under: uncultured bacterium
Lineage: Bacteria
Description: partial 16S ribosomal RNA
Rfam family: Bacterial small subunit ribosomal RNA
Source: RNAcentral